AGAGUUUGAUCCUGGCUCAGAUUGAACGCUGGCGGCAGGCCUAACACAUGCAAGUCGAGCGGAUGAGUGGAGCUUGCUCCAUGAUUCAGCGGCGGACGGGUGAGUAAUGCCUAGGAAUCUGCCUGGUAGUGGGGGACAACGUUUCGAAAGGAACGCUAAUACCGCAUACGUCCUACGGGAGAAAGUGGGGGAUCUUCGGACCUCACGCUAUCAGAUGAGCCUAGGUCGGAUUAGCUAGUUGGCAGGGUAAUGGCCUACCAAGGCGACGAUGGUUAGCUGGUCUGAGAGGAUGAUCAGCCACACUGGAACUGAGACACGGUCCAGACUCCUACGGGAGGCAGCAGUGGGGAAUUUUGCGCAAUGGGGGAAACCCUGACGCAGCAACGCCGCGUGAGUGAUGAAGGCCUUCGGGUCGUAAAGCUCUGUCAGAGGGAAAGAAGUGUGGGAGGGUUAAUACCCCUUUCACUUGACGGUACCCUCAAAGGAAGCACCGGCUAACUCCGUGCCAGCAGCCGCGGUAAUA
RNAcentral lists this ribosomal RNA (523 nucleotides) under uncultured bacterium. Its description in RNAcentral is "bacterial SSU rRNA". It matches the Rfam family "Bacterial small subunit ribosomal RNA", at positions 8 to 525 of the family's 1533-position model. The record is from RNAcentral.